This 2857-nucleotide long non-coding RNA is filed under the name Marmota monax (woodchuck). The record is from RNAcentral. Lineage: Eukaryota; Metazoa; Chordata; Mammalia; Rodentia; Sciuridae.
AUUUUUUAAUAUUUAUUUUUUAGUUUUCGGUGGACACAACAUCUUUAUUCUAUUUGUAUGCGGUGCUGAGGAUCAAACCCAGCACCCAGUGCAUGCCAGGCGAGCACUCUACCGCUUGAGCCACAUCCCCAGCUCCUCAUCUUUUUAUAAGGCACAUACUCUUGGGAUAAGGAACCUACUCCCAUGAUAACGCCAUUAAUCCAGGCGUGAGGACAGAACCCUGGUGACCUAGUCACGUCUUAAAGUUCCCACCUCUUAACCCAGUUAAAAAUGACAACUAAUUUUGAUGUAAAUUUGGGAGGGGGUGCAGAUGUUCAAACGAUGAUAUCAGGCUGCCAUAACAAAAAGAUUGGAUGGCUGAAACAAGAGAAAUUUAUUUUCUCACAGUCCUGGAACUUAGAAGUUGAGGAUAAAGGUGUUCGUAGAGUUGAUCUCUUCCAAGGCCUUGUUCUUUGGCCUUGUGAGUGGCUACAAGGCCAAGUGGCUGUCCCUCGGUGCGCAUCUGUGCCCUAAUUCCCUCUUCUUAAAAGGACACAAGCCAGACAAGAUUAGGGCCCACCUCCAACCACCUGAUUGAACUCUAAUUACCUCCUUAAAGACCUUAUCUCCAAAUAUAACUACAUACUGACGUCCUGGAGGUUAGAACUCCAACGUAUGGAUUCGGUAGGGCUAUGGCUCAGCUCCUGACACCCCAUUCCUAAGCUCCGGAUGGCUGAGGCUGGAGAACUGAGGCUGGUAGCUCACUACUGGCCCUGAAAAUCUUCUGCUCCAAAAUAAUAUGCUUGAUUUCUGCUCUACUUCACCGGCCAAAGCCAGUCCCAUGGCCAUGCCUUCUCUUCAGAGGGAUGGGGAAAUGCUAUUCUCAUAUGAUCCUUCAAGGAAGACAACUAGGACUUCAUAUAAAGCCCCUAAUGAUUACCAGUGUCUAGCAUGGAGCCCCAGUAACUCCCUUUGUAGGUGGUCUGCCAAGAUGGCCACCGGUCAUUCUCGUCCUCUCUGGCCCUCUCCCCAUCAAGAAAUAGAGUCUAGGGCUGGGGAUGUGGCUCAAGCGGUAGCGCGCUCGCCUGGCAUGCGUAUGGCCCGGGUUCGAUUCUCAGCACCACAUACAAACAAAGAUGUUGUGUCCACUGAGAACUAAAAAAAAAUAAAUAUUAAAAUUCUCUCUCUCUCUCUCUCUCUCACUCUCUCUUAAAAAAAAAGAAAUAGAGUCUAUUCUCUUCCCUUGGAAUUUGGAUUGUCUUAUAGUUUGCUUUAUUCAACAGACUCUACAGGAGUUAAUGUUCUAGAUCUUUCCACCCUCAGACUCCAGAGGUCUGAUAACUUCUGCUUUUGCAGAAGGAAACCCAUGUAUGAUGAAGACAUUCUAGACACAUGAGGCAGCUCUCCGACAUCAUGAAAAGACUGAACCCCAGCCAGCCCUGACGGCUCUUUGAGCCACCCAACGGAGGCACCCGACAUGUGACCGAGGCCACCUUUAUUCUUCCAGCCCUACAGAGUCAACCUCGCUCACACCAGGCAGAGCAGAGACUCAUGUUGAAAUUUACCUCACCCCCACGGUGAGGGAUCAAGAGGUGAGACCCGGUGGACGCAUGAAGAGGAAAUCAGGUCAUUUAAUGGAUUAAAUGCAUUCAUGGAUUAAUGGAUUAUUGCAGAUGCAUAAAACCUAAUCCCAAACUGGCUUGAACCCAUUUUUGUGUGGGGGGGGUGCACCAUUGGACAGGGACGACGUCAGGCAUGGCUGGAUCCCGAUCCACCUCUUAGGUUUGCUUCCCCCGGAGAUUUCAAGCUGCAUGUUUGUGACUGGCCCAGUUUGGGUCCUGUGUGCAUUCCCGGGCCCACGGAUGUUGUCAGAAUAGAGAGCAGUUUGAUUAGCCAACCUGGGGUGGUGAUUCCCUCCAGACCCAGGGGUGGACCCAACAUACUGCAGGGACUGAAAACACGGGCGUGUGUUCUCAGAUGGCAAUCAAGAGCUCUUUCAGAAAAGGUGUGUGAGAUUAGCACCCUUCCUGACCCCAACCCUCCCUUCCCAUUUGGCCUGCCUCUGCUCUCUCCCAAAUACCUCAUUGCCUCCCCACCCUCAGCUUGAGCAGGUCCCUCCUCCACUUGGAAUGUCUUCCAUACCAGUGGAAGACAGCUGGGUUGCCGCCGAGGCUGGCCUCAAGCUUCUGUGAUCCUCCUGCCUCAGCCUCCUCAGCAGCUAGGAUUACAGGCAUGCACCACAGCACUCAGCUACAUUAAGCAUCUUGAGAUGACGAUCUUGCAUUGUCCCCGGGAGCCCUAAGUGCAGUCACAUGCAUACUUACAAGGGGGAGGUAGAGAGAGAGUCCUUGACACAGACAGAAGAAUCAGAGACAACAUGACCGUGGGGACAAAGUCUGCAGCCACCAAACAGGCUCCCCUUGAGCCUCAGCAGGAGCAUGGCCCUGAGGAUGCCUUGAUUUUGACCAUGGGAUACUGAUUUAAGUCUUUUGACCUCCAGAACUGCAAGAGAAUAAAUGCUUGUUGUUUUAAGCCCCUGGAUUAGAGAAAUUUGUCAUGGCAAUCCUAGGACACGAAUAUGGCUUUCCACGUUAUGAAGAAUGCGAUGUUAACGCCUGUAGGACCUGUGGUCUGACUCCUGCUCCUGCUCGCGCUCACAGAGGACAUCCGACUGCAGCUUGAACACUGCUGCCCCAGGGCCUUUGCACUUAUUCCCUCAGUCUGGCAUGCUCUAUCUUUGGGUUAUUCCAUUAUCUCCUUAGGGGAGAUCUUCCCUGACUAAAACAGCACUGCCCCACCCCCAGUCCCUUGUCAUUUUUUUUUUUUAAGUUCCCUUGAUUUUCUUUCUUUUUUUUUUAAAGAGAGAGAGAGAGACCAC